AGAGUUUGAUCAUGGCUCAGAUUGAACGCUGGCGGUAUGCUUAACACAUGCAAGUCGAACGGAAACGAUGGUAGCUUGCUACCAGGCGUCGAGUGGCGGACGGGUGAGUAACGCGUAGGAAUCUGCCCAGUAGUGGGGGACAACCAGGGGAAACCCUGGCUAAUACCGCAUACACCCUACGGGGAAAAGAGGGCCUCUUCUUGAAAGCUCUUGCUAUUGGAUGAGCCUGCGUGAGAUUAGCUAGUUGGUGAGGUAAAAGCUCACCAAGGCGACGAUCUCUAGCUGGUCUGAGAGGACGAUCAGCCACACUGGGACUGAGACACGGCCCAGACUCCUACGGGAGGCAGCAGUGGGGAAUAUUGGACAAUGGGCGCAAGCCUGAUCCAGCAACGCCGCGUGGAGGAUGACACAUUUCGGUGCGUAAACUCCUUUUAUAUAGGAAGAUAAUGACGGUACUAUAUGAAUAAGCGCCGGCUAACUCCGUGCCAGCAGCCGCGGUAAUACGGAGGGCGCAAGCGUUACUCGGAAUCACUGGGCGUAAAGAGCGUGUAGGCGGGUUAAUAAGUUUGAAGUGAAAUCCUAUGGCUCAACCAUAGAACUGCUUUGAAAACUGUUAGCCUAGAAUAUGGGAGAGGUAGAUGGAAUUUCUGGUGUAGGGGUAAAAUCCGUAGAGAUCAGAAGGAAUACCGAUUGCGAAGGCGAUCUACUGGAACAUUAUUGACGCUGAGACGCGAAAGCGUGGGGAGCAAACAGGAUUAGAUACCCUGGUAGUCCACGCCCUAAACGAUGCACACUAGUUGUUGCUAUGCUAGACAUAGCAGUAAUGCAGUUAACACAUUAAGUGUGCCGCCUGGGGAGUACGGUCGCAAGAUUAAAACUCAAAGGAAUAGACGGGGACCCGCACAAGCGGUGGAGCAUGUGGUUUAAUUCGACUAUACGCGAAGAACCUUACCUGGACUUGACAUAAGAAGAACUUUCCAGAGACGGAUUGGUGCUAGUUUACUAGAACUUCUAUACAGGUGCUGCACGGCUGUCGUCAGCUCGUGUCGUGAGAUGUUGGGUUAAGUCCCGCAACGAGCGCAACCCUCGUGUUUAGUUACUAACAGUUCGGCUGAGGACUCUAAACAGACUGCCUGGGUAACCAGGAGGAAGGUGAGGACGACGUCAAGUCAUCAUGGCCCUUACGGCCAGGGCUACACACGUGCUACAAUGGGGUAUACAAAGAGCCGCGAUACCGUGAGGUGGAGCAAAUCUCAUAAAAUAUCUCCCAGUUCGGAUUGAAGUCUGCAACUCGACUUCAUGAAGUUGGAAUCGCUAGUAAUCGUAGAUCAGCAAUGCUACGGUGAAUACGUUCCCGGGUCUUGUACUCACCGCCCGUCACACCAUGGGAGUUGAUUUCAUUCGAAGCGGGGAUGCUAAAAUAGCUACCUUCCACAGUGGAUUUAGUAACUAGGGUGAAGUCGUAACAAGGUAACC
RNAcentral lists this ribosomal RNA (1476 nucleotides) under uncultured prokaryote. Its description in RNAcentral is "partial 16S ribosomal RNA". It matches the Rfam family "Bacterial small subunit ribosomal RNA". The record is from RNAcentral.